UGGGGAAUCUUGCACAAUGGGGGCAACCCUGAUGCAGCGACGCCGCGUGAGCGAUGAAGCCCUUCGGGGCGUAAAGCUCUUUCGACCGGAACGAUAAUGACGGUACCGGGAGAAGAAGCUGCGGCUAACUACGUGCCAGCAGCCGCGGUAAUACGUAGGCCGCAAGCGUUGUUUGGAGUUACUGGGCGUAAAGAGUGGGUAGGCGGUUUUCUAAGUUCGGUGUGAAAUCUCCGGGCUUAACUGGGAGGGUGCGCCGAAGACUGGGAAGCUGGAGUGUGGGAAAGGCCGGCGGAAUUCCUGGUGUAGCGGUGAAAUGCGUAGAUAUCAGGAGGAACACCGGCGGUGUAGACGGCUUGCUAGACCAUAACUGACGCUGAGGCACGAAAGCGUGGGUAGCAAACA
This 402-nucleotide ribosomal RNA is filed under the name uncultured bacterium. RNAcentral's name for it is "bacterial SSU rRNA". It matches the Rfam family "Bacterial small subunit ribosomal RNA", at positions 355 to 774 of the family's 1533-position model. The record is from RNAcentral.